AGAGUUUGAUCAUGGCUCAGGAUGAACGCUGGCGGCGUGCCCAACACAUGCAAGUCGAACGGAUGUAGCAAUACAUCAGUGGCGCACGGGUGAGUAACACGUAGCUGACCUGCCCUUCAGCGCGGGAUAACGGUUCGAAAGGACUGCUAAUACCGCAUAAGCUCACGGUUUUUAGAGGACUGUGAGAAAAGCUCAGGCGCUGAGGGAGGGGGCUGCGGUCCAUCAGGUAGAUGGUGCGGUAACGGCGCACCAUGCCGACGACGGAUAGGGGGCCUGAGAGGGUGACCCCCCACACUGGAACUGAGACACGGUCCAGACUCCUACGGGAGGCAGCAGUGAGGAAUAUUGCUCAAUGGGCGCAAGCCUGAAGCAGCGACGCCGCGUGGACGAUGAAGGCUUUCGGGUCGUAAAGUCCUUUUUUGGGUGACGAGCAGGGACGGUAGCCCAAGAAUAAGUGUCGGCUAACUACGUGCCAGCAGCCGCGGUAAAACGUAGGACACGAGCGUUAUCCGGAGUUACUGGGCGUAAAGGGCGUUUAGGCGGGUGAUUAAGUUCGCUAUGAAAGCGCCGGGCUAAACCCGGCGAGGCUGGCGGAUACUGGUCAUCUGGAGUGAGGAAGAGGGAAGUAGAAUUCCGCGUGUAGUGGUGAAAUGCGUAGAGAUGCGGAGGAAUACCAGUGGCGAAGGCGACUUCCUGGUCCUCAACUGACGCUGAAGCGCGAAAGCAUGGGGAGCGAACGGGAUUAGAAACCCCGGUAGUCCAUGCCGUAAACGAUGUGCACUAAACGUUCGGUUUCCGCGAGGGAGCCGGGUGUUGAAGCCAACGCGGUAAGUGCACCGCCUGGGGAGUACGGUCGCAAGGCUAAAACUCAAAGGAAUUGACGGGGGCCCGCACAAGCAGCGGAGCGUGUGGUUUAAUUCGAGGCUACGCGAAGAACCUUACCUGGGUUUGACAUGGGUUUGAACAAGGCUGAAAGGCUGCGGUUCCCGCAAGGGACAGAUUCACAGGUGCUGCAUGGCUGUCGUCAGCUCGUGCCGUGAGGUGUUCGGUUAAGUCCGCAAACGAGCGCAACCCCCGGGGUUAGUUACAAGUGUCUAACCCGACUGCCCGUGGCAAACGGGAGGAAGGUGGGGAUGAUGUCAAGUCAGCAUGGCCUUUAUAUCCAGGGCUACACACACGCUACAAUGGCGUAUACAAUGGGUAGCGAAGCCGCGAGGCGGAGCCAAUCCUGCAAAGUACGUCUCAGUUCGGAUUGUAGGCUGCAACCCGCCUGCAUGAAGUUGGAGUUGCUAGUAACCGCGCGUCAGCACAGUGCGGUGAAUACGUUCCCGGGCCUUGUACACACCGCCCGUCACGUCAUGAGAGCUGGUGAUGCCUGAAGUCGGGAAGCGAACCGCGAGGACGCUACUGCCGAGGGCGGCACUGGUGAUUGGGACGAAGUCGUAACAAGGUAGCC
This 1456-nucleotide ribosomal RNA is filed under the name uncultured bacterium. RNAcentral's name for it is "bacterial SSU rRNA". It matches the Rfam family "Bacterial small subunit ribosomal RNA". The record is from RNAcentral.